GGAGUCUCGGAUGUGAUCGUCGCCUGUGCUCGCGUGAGGCCUUGACGAGCCGAAACCGCCGCGCCGCCGCCUGCGGCUCUACGCUGCACAUACACCUCGCCUCUAGCGAUCAGCCUCGACCUGCACUGAGCACGCCGGCCGGCCGGCCGGCCUGCCAUCCCCAAGGAAGAAGCCGUACCAAUCAAUUAUUCAAUCAAGCUUGAAGGCUAGAAAAUCAGGGACGUACCAACAAAAAGGAACGGCAUAUUCAAGCUAUUCUGCCUUAACUGGUAAUGCAGAGCUCAGUUAUUCAAAAACGAGUGGUUCCACGAUACAAUGGCCAAGACAACGAAAAAUAAAAUGGUACAACACACAUGACAAUGUGCCUGACAAGGAAAAAGACAUCACAAGACAGCACGGCAUGAAAAUCAUCAGCUGAGCAGAUCAACAACUAUUUUCUUCGGCGAAGAAAAGAUCAACACCUAUUAUGCUCAUCUUUACAUGCUAUCUCUCUUGUGAGCCAAUAUUAUAUAUUUCACACCACCACCAAGAAAAGUGGGUGAAAACAUAUGGCCUAAGUAAACUCAUUUGGAAUCAUAUAGGGGUGGAUUAACGAGCUGCUCGGCUCGUUAAGCUCGUACUCGUUAAGCUCGUACUCGUUAAGACUCGUACUC
Long non-coding RNA from Triticum dicoccoides, 653 nucleotides. RefSeq lists it as uncharacterized. The transcript is spliced from 3 exons. NCBI's taxonomy places the organism in Eukaryota, Viridiplantae, Streptophyta, Magnoliopsida, Poales, Poaceae. The record is from RefSeq and is a predicted model, not a curated record.